CAGACUGAGUGAAGAGUGAGAGAGGAGUUAGGCAGGGCUGUAUAUUGUCACCAACCCUUUUUAGCCUGUAUACAGAGGAGGUAGCAGCCAGGAUGAGAAGAAUGAAUGUAGGGGAGUUGUCGAUCCAAAGGCCUGACUCAGGAGUGAUCCUGUGCCACCUACACCAUCAAGAUCAAGAUCAAGACAACAGUUCCCUCGUGUUUACUACCACAGUGCAUAGAAAUCUUAUCUUUUUUCGCAAAUUUCCCAAGUAAUUCCCCACCCCGGAGGCCGCCCCCAGUACCCCAGUUCCCUGCAUCCAUGGUUUAUAUUGUUAUUCUUCAAGAGGUGAGAGAGGCAAGGGACGAGAGACGCAAGGGAGAGAAGCAAGGGAGAGAGACAGAGUUGACCCGUGUGGCUCCUCUCUGGUGGUGAAAGCAAGUGACGGCAAGAUGGUGAUGGUGACCCUGCCCAACCCCCUCCAGGAAAACUUGGAGGAUGUGAUUGAGGUGCAGGGUGUGGGUCAGGGGCAGAAGGUGACGUGCCAGAGUGACGUCACGUUCCCCCAAAUGCAGGCCGGCAAGUUUGCUGACGUCACCAGUCGUCAGUGCACGGCGGGUGCUGCAAGGGGAACUGCAGGAGGUGGACCUGUUCAGCACCUCAUCCCUCCCUGCCCUCUCCCCUGACAGGAGCAUGCCAGACCCAGGGGUGCCCAAGGAAACGACAAGGGGCACUACCUCUAUGCAGACAAAACCUAACCAACCAGCUUAACCUGAGUCGCCCCUGGAACCGCCCCACCACAGAGGAGGAGGAGGAGGAGGAGGAGGAGGAGGAGACAGUCAUGGAUGAAGGGACGUCACAGAUCAUGCACAUUUGCUUCCAUAUUGGGUGAGAGACUGCAUUGUUUGUGAAGAAGACGAGGAGGAAGAUAGUUUUUCAUCUCAAUUGCACAGAAUAUUCAAUAAUUGGUCUGUUUCAUGAAGCUCCUGUAUUGCUGAGUCAUUAGAGAGCCUUAAAAGAAGACAGUCAGAUUUAUGGAUGGGGAUGACAGGUGAAAAUAGACAGGUGUUUUUUGUACAGGGACUUCCACGUGGAUAGAGGAUCAACCUGCCAACCAAGUGAGUAUGUGUGAGUAUUUGUGAGACAGACAGACAGACAGACAGACAGACAGAGAGAGAGAGAGGGAGGGAUAGACUGACAGAGAUGCAGAGAGAGAGAGAGAGAGUUUUAGACAGACAGAGAGAGAGAGAGGCAUACAUUGACAGAGAGAGAGAUAGACAGAGGCAGGGUUAGACAGACCAAGAGGCAUACACUGACAGAGAGACAGACAGAGACAGGGAUAAAGUAACAGAGAUGGAGAGAGAAAGAGACAAACAGAGACAUUGAGAGAUAUUUCAGGGUGUGUGUGUGUGUGUGUGUGUGUGUGUGUGUGUGUGUUGAUUUAUGAAGAAGAUGGCAAAUAGUGGGAAUUUUCUUAUGUGUUUUGUACUUUAUUUUCUUUGCUUCAUUCAUUUUUUUUCCCUUGUUUUUUUUUUCCAUCUCAAUUUCAUUCAUGUUUUUCCUUUCUCCUUCUCUCUCUAUUCCUUUAUUUUUUUCCUUUCAUCUAUAUACUUCAGGUUGCGGUGGAAACUGGCGUACAGCUGUGCCUGAGCCUGCCGUGGAUGCAUUCCCAGCCCCCGAACUGAACGGUCAACCUGCCGCCAAUCUCAACUUCAACCAGAACAGCUCGGACACGGCUGGCCAGGACAACCACCGCAACACAGACAUGCAUGCACCUGAUAUGGACAUGAAAAUGGAGGGACAGGAGUCCCACGUGAUGGUGUCCGACAGUGACGCCUCAGUGCAGGAGGGGGAACGGCAGGCAGAGACCCGCAAGUGCCCCUGGGAGAAGCCUGGAGUUAACCGAGCCAAUGAAAGCAGAAUCAAACUUUCCAUUCCAGUCAACUGAACCUGUGAAAGUUCCCAAUCCGGCCAAGCAGGUCCCAGAAGGUGCGGCGUCCAUGCACCCCGUGAUGGUGCUGCACCAGAUGAAGCCUGGCCUGCUGUACAACACUAACCAGACCACCAGGGAUAACAAGCCUUUCUUCACCGUCACCGCCGACAUCGAUGGCAAGGAGUUCUCAGGCGAGGGGACAAAUGUGAAGAAAGCCAAGUUCUUCCUGGCCAACACAGCAAUACUGGGACUGUACGGGGUAGAAUCCACCUUUGAGAUCUCCGCUUAAUGGAAGUACUAGCUGCCUGGGUACUGGCGGCGGUGUGCGGGGCAGGCGGUCCCUCGCACACGUGGCUGUAGAGUCUGCUACGUGAUAAUGACAAAGUAGAUAGGUAGCUACAUAGUAUUUUAACCUGAAGUCCUGUCUGUGAGUGUUGUCUUGUAUGUUGCUGCUUGCUGAAGGCAGGGAAUGUACUGAACUGGACCUGAGUGGCUUACAAAACUCCUGUGGAAGGGAAGUGAUGGUCUGUGCUAAAUGUUGCAGUCUGACGAGUGACGUGGAAUUCAAUUUUUCCACGUGUAAAUUCUUCCAGUCCAGUGUUUACCUUUAUUUUGUUCCAGCUCUGUUACUUAGUGCCAGAGUUAGAAGACUGACAUUUAACGGAAUUCUUAUUUAUGAUUUUGACGUACUUUCUUUUCCUAUUUAUUUACUUAGCCCAUGAAGUGUGGGUGCUCCUUGUAAAUGGUCGGUGCUGAGCCUGCCAUGAAUGCAAAUCAAAUGCAGCUGAUUGUGAAAGACAGGCACAGGAGAAGGGGUCAGUCACUCAUUCCUGCUUGUGUCAGAUCACUCAUCUAGUGUUCUGCUGUGGAGUGGAGUGGGUGAUGAGAGGGCUGUGGUGAUGGGACAGUGACAGACAAGCCCUACUUACUGAAAACAAAAGUGUGCGAACUCAUCACAUCAACACUUAUUUAGCUUCCUGACAAAAAUGGCAUCCAGUUUCAGAUGUUUAAGGUAUUUAACUCAUCUAUUUAUUUAAAGGUACCCACUCUUUAUGGGUUAAAUGAAAGCUGUACUCUAGUUUAGCAGUCAGUCUCACCACUUGGUUUAAUGUGAGCAGGUAAGGAAGCCCUAGAACCUGGCCCUUGGUUAGGUUCUGGUGACUUCUGGCUGGAAUCUCAGUACCUUAAUUUCUCUUCUGGUUGAAACUUUCUCCUCAAACACAACUGGCUGGAGCUGAGUCCUGGGAUGGUCAGCUGUUUAAAUAUUACUACACAAAAUGUUAUGAGUUUGAAUACAUAAUGAAAAUUUCUUUAAUGUGUAUGUAUGUAAAGGUUAUAAAAGCAAGUAUUUUUUUUCUUUUUCAAUUUUUGUAUAUAAUUGAGGUUAAGAUUAAUUUGAAACAUUGAUUGCAAUUUAUCAAGCUGGUGUUUUUGGUUUUGAAGGAAGUGUAAGUGCAAGAGGUAUGAAUUUGAAACAUUGAUUGCAAUUUAUCAAGCUGGUGUUUUUGGUUUUGAAGGAAGUGUAAGUGCAAGAGGUAUGAAUUUGAAACAUUGAUUGCAAUUUAUCAAGCUGGUGUUGGUUUUGGUUUUGAAGGAACUGUAAUUGUGCAAGAGGUAAUCAUUUGAUCAGAGUGGAAUUAAUGAAGCAGUUUACCACACCAGUAUUGUCAUUCCUGCUCCCUGUGUGUCCACCUUACCUCUUACACCCUGACGUUUGCCUCAACGCCUUCAUUUAUCACCAAUGCAGUUAGGUAAAUCAUCACUUAUUACUAUUUUCUCAUAUGAAUUCAGAAACACUGUCAGCUUAUCAAAUAGUGUAUCUGUUAAUAUAACCUUUUGUAGGCAACUUGUCCUGUAACCACCUAUGACAUUUUAGGCUCAUUUUUGUACCAGCCUCUUCAACAGUUCUAUAGCUUAUGGAAAACUAAAUUAACUUCCUAUUCUCUCAUUUCCUCUGUCCAUACCAGCAGUUCUCAUAGUACUCUCAAUGUUGAAGGAUGAUAGCAGUCCAAGGGCAGAGCUAGUGAGUUUCUUUGAGUCUCCCCAAUAAUUGUUUUCUUUUGUAGCUUGCGGUGAAGAGGAGGAUAAUAGCGGUAAUUAAAGGUUUAGUGAUUAUAUGAAAAAAGUAUUUUUAUAAGGCGUGUAUUCGUGGGAGUGAUUUAAAAGUCUUGAAACAUUUAUUAUAAAUAGUCUUUACUUAUUUCAACUGUAGUUUUCUCUAAUCAAUGGUAAUACGAAUAAUAGAAUUACAUCAUGUUGCGUCAGCCUACCAGUAACUCAUAAGGUAUCAUACCCUAGCUUAUAAAAUAUGUUAGUAAUUUAGAAUUCAAUUAUUAACUUCAACUAAUGUCCAGCCUAUAUGCUCACCUUGCUAGCCAAUUAUUCCUGCAUUUUUAUUUAAACUCACGGUUCAGUAAAAUUAUUUGUGAAAGAAGAGAGAGAGAGAGAACUAGCUAAGGUUCCAAUAACUUCAGAUGCCUGUGGGUGUUGAGGGAGAGAGCACAAAAUGGCGUCUCCCUUCCCUCUGGCAACAGGUGGGUCUCGUAGCUCUGAAAUAUUUGAUUUUUCUUUUAUUUAGAAGUGAAUAUUACUGUUCAUGUUUAUUAUUCAUGUCUAGUGAAGAUAUAGUGACUGUACGUGUUGACAGAAUGGCGUCUCCCUUCCCUCUGGCAACAGUGUUGCCACGGUGACGGUGGUGGUGGACAUGACACAGAUGCGGGAGGUGGAGUUUGUGCCCGAUGGAGACAUGCAGCUGGACAAAUUGUGUUGGUCAUUGGUCAGACUGGAGUUUACAUGUGUACCUCCUUCACCAUCAUUGGUGGACACUUCACCAUGAGUGAUGCUUGAGCUGUCACGGUGUUGCUGGUGCUGUGUGCCAUCAUCACCCUGACACAGACCACCCUGCAGACACCUUCAUCCUGGGUGCCACACGUCGCUGCUGCUACAACUCAGAGCAACAAGAGCACAAGCCAGGAAGGGAAAUGGUAACUUCUCACUUAAUUUGUUGUUUAUUUGAGGGCCUAAUGACAAAGACAUAAUGGAAUGAGUAUUUGUGAAUGUUUGUUUAUAUCUAGAUACACCAACAAGUGAUGGUGUGGCUCUGAGCCACUGUAGUAGGGAUGUUAUUUAAGGGUAGGAAGUUGCAAAUGCUCACCUAACAAUUGCACCUUAGUAGAAAAACACAAACAGGAAAUUUAUGCAAGUUUUUAUCCUUAUAUAAAAUGUUGUAUUGCAUCAAACCUCCAUACAUUACUGUCU
This is an RNA transcript of Scylla paramamosain (green mud crab), 5170 nucleotides long. It is a transcript of the gene named interleukin enhancer-binding factor 3 homolog, with no coding region annotated. The record is from RefSeq and is a predicted model, not a curated record. The transcript has 13 exons. Lineage: Eukaryota; Metazoa; Arthropoda; Malacostraca; Decapoda; Portunidae.